RNAcentral lists this ribosomal RNA (301 nucleotides) under uncultured bacterium. Its description in RNAcentral is "partial 16S ribosomal RNA". It matches the Rfam family "Bacterial small subunit ribosomal RNA", at positions 509 to 809 of the family's 1533-position model. The record is from RNAcentral.
CAGUCGCCGCGGGAAUACGGAGGAUCCAAGCGUUAUCCGGAAUCAUUGGGUUUAAAGGGUCCGUAGGCGGUCUUGUAAGUCAGUGGUGAAAGCCCAUCGCUCAACGGUGGAACGGCCAUUGAUACUGCAGGACUUGAAUUAUUGGGAAGUAACUAGAAUAUGUAGUGUAGCGGUGAAAUGCUUAGAGAUUACAUGGAAUACCAAUUGCGAAGGCAGGUUACUACCAAUUGAUUGACGCUGAUGGACGAAAGCGUGGGUAGCGAACAGGAUUAGAUACCCCUGUAGUCCCUGUCUCUUAUAA